AUACGUAGGGAGCGAGCGUUGUCCGGAAUUACUGGGUGUAAAGGGUGCGUAGGCGGGACUGCAAGUCAGAUGUGAAAUGCCGGGGCUCAACCCCGGAGCUGCAUUUGAAACUGUGGUUCUUGAGUGAGGUAGAGGUAAGCGGAAUUCCUAGUGUAGCGGUGAAACGCGUAGAUAUUAGGAGGAACAUCGGUGGCGAAGGCGGCUUACUGGGCCUUUACUGACGCUGAGGCACGAAAGCGUGGGGAGCAAACAGGAUUAGAUACCCUGGUAGUCCACGUUGUAAACGAUGAUGACUAGGUGUGGGGGGACUGAACCCUUCCGUGCCGCAGUUAACACAAUAAGUCAUCCACCUGGGGAGUACGGCCGCAAGGUUGAAACUCAAAUGAAUUGACGGGG
RNAcentral lists this ribosomal RNA (396 nucleotides) under uncultured bacterium. Its description in RNAcentral is "partial 16S ribosomal RNA". It matches the Rfam family "Bacterial small subunit ribosomal RNA", at positions 523 to 918 of the family's 1533-position model. The record is from RNAcentral.